CGGCGGACGGGUGAGUAACACGUGGAUAACCUACCUAUAAGACUGGGAUAACUUCGGGAAACCGGAGCUAAUACCGGAUAAUAUAUUGAACCGCAUGGUUCAAUAGUGAAAGACGGUUUUGCUGUCACUUAUAGAUGGAUUCGCGCCGCAUUAGCUAGUUGGUAAGGUAACGGCUUACCAAGGCAACGAUGCGUAGCCGACCUGAGAGGGUGAUCGGCCACACUGGAACUGAGACACGGUCCAG
RNAcentral lists this ribosomal RNA (244 nucleotides) under uncultured Staphylococcus sp. RNAcentral's name for it is "partial 16S ribosomal RNA". It matches the Rfam family "Bacterial small subunit ribosomal RNA", at positions 96 to 334 of the family's 1533-position model. The record is from RNAcentral. Lineage: Bacteria; Bacillati; Bacillota; Bacilli; Caryophanales; Staphylococcaceae.